ACCCUGAUCAGCCAUGCCGCGUGAGUGAAGAAGGCCUUCGGGUUGUAAAGCUCUUUCAGAUGCGAAGAUGAUGACGGUAACAUCAGAAGAAGCCCCGGCUAAUUUCGUGCCAGCAGCCGCGGUAAUACGAAAGGGGCUAGCGUUGUUCGGAUUUACUGGGCGUAAAGGGCACGCAGGCGGUCUUGCCAGUCAGGGGUGAAAGCCCGAGGCUCAACCUCGGAACUGCCUCUGAUACUGUAAGACUUGAGACUAGGAGAGGGUGGUGGAAUUCCCAGUGUAGAGGUGAAAUUCGUAGAUAUUGGGAGGAACACCAGAGGCGAAGGCGGCCACCUGGACUAGAUCUGACGCUCAGGUGCGAAAGCGUGGGGAGCAAACAGGAUUAGAUACCCUGGUAGUCCACGCCGUAAACGAUGAGUGCUAGUUGUCGGGACUUCGGUUUCGGUGACGCAGCUAACGCAUUAAGCACUCCGCCUGGGGAGUACGGUCGCAAGAUUAAAACUCA
This 502-nucleotide ribosomal RNA is filed under the name Thalassospira tepidiphila. Its description in RNAcentral is "bacterial SSU rRNA". It matches the Rfam family "Bacterial small subunit ribosomal RNA", at positions 380 to 903 of the family's 1533-position model. The record is from RNAcentral. Lineage: Bacteria; Pseudomonadati; Pseudomonadota; Alphaproteobacteria; Rhodospirillales; Thalassospiraceae.